Molecule: ribosomal RNA, 957 nt
Filed under: Fusarium sp.
Lineage: Eukaryota; Fungi; Ascomycota; Sordariomycetes; Hypocreales; Nectriaceae
Description: eukaryotic LSU rRNA
Rfam family: Eukaryotic large subunit ribosomal RNA (bases 502-957)
Source: RNAcentral
UUGGUGACCAGCGGAGGGAUCAUUACCGAGUUUACAACUCCCAAACCCCUGUGAACAUACCUUAAUGUUGCCUCGGCGGAUCAGCCCGCGCCCCGUAAAACGGGACGGCCCGCCAGAGGACCCAAACUCUAAUGUUUCUUAUUGUAACUUCUGAGUAAAACAAACAAAUAAAUCAAAACUUUCAACAACGGAUCUCUUGGUUCUGGCAUCGAUGAAGAACGCAGCAAAAUGCGAUAAGUAAUGUGAAUUGCAGAAUUCAGUGAAUCAUCGAAUCUUUGAACGCACAUUGCGCCCGCUGGUAUUCCGGCGGGCAUGCCUGUUCGAGCGUCAUUUCAACCCUCAAGCCCCCGGGUUUGGUGUUGGGGAUCGGCUCUGCCCUUCUGGGCGGCGCCGCCCCCGAAAUACAUUGGCGGUCUCGCUGCAGCCUCCAUUGCGUAGUAGCUAACACCUCGCAACUGGAACGCGGCGCGGCCAUGCCGUAAAACCCCAACUUCUGAAUGUUGACCUCGGAUCAGGUAGGAAUACCCGCUGAACUUAAGCAUAUCAAUAAGCGGAGGAAAAGAAACCAACAGGGAUUGCCCUAGUAACGGCGAGUGAAGCGGCAACAGCUCAAAUUUGAAAUCUGGCUUUCGGGCCCGAGUUGUAAUUUGUAGAGGAUACUUUUGAUGCGGUGCCUUCCGAGUUCCCUGGAACGGGACGCCAUAGAGGGUGAGAGCCCCGUCUGGUUGGAUGCCAAAUCUCUGUAAAGUUCCUUCGACGAGUCGAGUAGUUUGGGAAUGCUGCUCUAAAUGGGAGGUAUAUGUCUUCUAAAGCUAAAUAUUGGCCAGAGACCGAUAGCGCACAAGUAGAGUGAUCGAAAGAUGAAAAGCACUUUGAAAAGAGAGUUAAAAAGUACGUGAAAUUGUUGAAAGGGAAGCGUUUAUGACCAGACUUGGACUUGGUUAAUCAUCUGGGGUU